UGUGGGGUCUCUAGGAGAGAGAGCAGGUGGGGCUGAGGUGUGGGGUCUCUAGGAGAGAGAGCAGGUGGGGCUGAGGUGUGGGGUCUCUAGGAGAGCCAGCAAGUGGGGCUGAGGUGCAGCGCUUCCCUGCUGUGUGACUGCGCCUGCACUGCCCUCUUGCGUCGGCUGCUCGCUCCCCUCCCGAUCGCCCCUGGAGGAAGGGACACCUCUGUCUGAAGGUCUGUCAACAGCCCUGUAAAUUCUCUUCAGAAGGCAUCUGUCCUUUACCCGUUCUACGGGAAAACUCCUGGGAAGCCCGCAGAGAGCGGGAGGAAAGGGCUGGGACAGGCCCGCGGACUCCACAUUGCCCAUCUGCCAGGCACCCGUUCCUUCGCGCCUUCAUCCAGGACUGACAGGGGAGCCCGGUGGGGACAGCGGAGGCCGAGGGGAACCGGGGCCGGGCUGAGGGACCGCGCCGGCCGUGGGCAGUAAGGCUAGGGUCUCGGUGGGCAGCGGGGGUCUCGAUGGGCAGCGGGGGUCUCGGU
Molecule: long non-coding RNA, 524 nt
Organism: Ochotona curzoniae (black-lipped pika)
Lineage: Eukaryota; Metazoa; Chordata; Mammalia; Lagomorpha; Ochotonidae
Exons: 3
Source: RefSeq, a predicted model, not a curated record